AGUGAACGCUGGCGGUAGGCCUAACACAUGCAAGUCGAACGGCAGCACAGUAAGAGCUUGCUCUUACGGGUGGCGAGUGGCGGACGGGUGGGGAAUACAUCGGAAUCUACUUUUUCGUGGGGGAUAACGUAGGGAAACUUACGCUAAUACCGCAUACGACCUACGGGUGAAAGCAGGGGAUCUUCGGACCUUGCGCGAUUGAAUGAGCCGAUGUCGGAUUAGCUAGUUGGCGGGGUAAAGGCCCACCAAGGCGACGAUCCGUAGCUGGUCUGAGAGGAUGAUCACCAAAACUGGAACGGAGCCACGGUCCAGACUCCUACGGGAGGCAGCAGUGGGGAAUAUUGGACAAUGGGCGCAAGCCUGAUCCAGCCAUACCGCGUGGGUGAAGAAGGCCUUCGGGUUGUAAAGCCCUUUUGUUGGGAAAGAAAAGCAGCAGGUUAAUACCCCGCUGUUCUGACGGUACCAAAAGAAUAAGCACCGGCUAACUUCGU
RNAcentral lists this ribosomal RNA (491 nucleotides) under uncultured bacterium. RNAcentral's name for it is "partial 16S ribosomal RNA". It matches the Rfam family "Bacterial small subunit ribosomal RNA", at positions 29 to 506 of the family's 1533-position model. The record is from RNAcentral.